AUCAUCGCAAUGCCGUUCUGCUGCGCCUAUCAAUGUAAUAGCAGAAGCGAAAAAGGAUUCUCGCUGUUCAACAUUCCGUGGGGAAAAAGAGAUGUCCAGCGCAAGAAGCAGUGGCUGCACAAUAUCGGAAGAAAAGACUUUGCGCCUACCAGAAGGACUUCUUUGUGUGAGCUCCAUUUUACUGAAGAUCAGUUCGAACCAUUGAUACUGCAGAAGUAUGGAAAAAAGAAGUUGAAACCAAACGCCGUUCCAACUUUGUUUUCGCACCGGCCGGCUCCGAAGCAACGAAAACCUCCCGCCAAAAGAUGCGAAAUUCGCACACACUUGCACCAAGGCAAGGUGAACUUCGGGACAUGUGAAAGUAGCAGCG
Molecule: long non-coding RNA, 370 nt
Organism: Rhipicephalus microplus (southern cattle tick)
Lineage: Eukaryota; Metazoa; Arthropoda; Arachnida; Ixodida; Ixodidae
Source: RefSeq, a predicted model, not a curated record